Molecule: long non-coding RNA, 474 nt
Organism: Bradysia coprophila
Lineage: Eukaryota; Metazoa; Arthropoda; Insecta; Diptera; Sciaridae
Source: RefSeq, a predicted model, not a curated record
UAAAGCAGAAUCGUUUCCACUGGUCAGUUAGUAGUAAGACAUCGGCUUAAAGUGAACAUUGGAUUCAAACUCUAUCUAACUGAAAUUAUAAACGACUUUUUAAUAAAGAUGUUCAAAAUCAAUGGAUUCGUAUUGGCUUUCCUAGUGGUGACUGUUCUGGCUACAGUUGUCAUACCUCCUGCUAACGCAGAAUAUGGUUGCUACAAAGGCUAUUGUUGGUCAUGGUGUGCUGAGAAAGGGUCCGGACAAUGGUGCUAUACAACAAAAGGGCGAAGAGAUGAUCAUAACUGGAUAGGAUGCACUUCGCCAGCAGAUUGUAAUGAAAAUUGGGAAUGCGCAAACGAAUGUCACCCCAAGGAUUAUACAAAAUGAAGAACAACAAUGUGAUUUGAUCCCGAAAAUGACACUGGUGGAAAAAAUACUCAAGAUAACAAUAAAAGAAAUAAUAAUGAAGAGAAAACUGUCAUGACAAAA